This 30-nucleotide ribosomal RNA is filed under the name fungal endophyte sp. AcapS7. RNAcentral describes it as "partial 18S ribosomal RNA". Lineage: Eukaryota; Fungi. The record is from RNAcentral. RNAcentral also lists the same sequence under 11 other names.
UCCGUUGGUGAACCAGCGGAAGGAUCAUUA